Larimichthys crocea (large yellow croaker) is the source of this 1044-nucleotide long non-coding RNA. RefSeq lists it as uncharacterized. Lineage: Eukaryota; Metazoa; Chordata; Actinopteri; Sciaenidae. The record is from RefSeq and is a predicted model, not a curated record. The transcript has 3 exons.
UCCUGCAGCAUGUCUUGAUGUAUGUCGCUGAGCGCAGUCCUGCUGUGUGUGUCCGGUUUCUGUGCAAGACGUUAGAAAGCAGAGAAGCCUCACUGCGCCUCCCUGAUCUAUAAUUUAAUGCUCGAGUGACAUUUUUGUAAAUAUCAUAUUUGUUUGCAGCUAAAAUGACCUGCAGCCUCUGCGCAGCUCCCCUCCAGCACAUCAGGGGGGUUUCUCUCUGCAAAAUAUAUUUAUCCCCCUUCAAAAUAAUUCACCUAAACUCCCCCAAUAUGAGAUCAUUCGUGUCCAAACUCUCAGAGAUUGGAGUGUAUUGUUUCAGUUCUGCAGAUAUAAUUAGUUUUUUGUGUUUUUAUUCGCAGAUUUCUUCGACUAUGUUGUUGUUACUGUAACUGUUACUGGCUGAUCUCGGACCUGUUUAUAUCACAGCUUUCUUUCAUGUCAAAGUGUUUGCUUUGGUCAUAAUUGAUUUCACGGGCCGGGCAGAUCUCUUUAUUGACUCAAGAUGAUGGAAGAAGCGUGUGUGGGUCGAGGAAUAUUUCUAGUUCUGCUUCUUUUUUUCUGACCUUUUUCUGCCAUUUUCAGGCCCUCAAAAAGAAAAAAUACAACAAGUCCAGCAGCAGCAGCAGAGACACUGGAAUGAAUGCGUCAAUAUUCCAGCAGAGUUCAGCUCAGUGAUGUAACAGCGCUGAGAGGCCUUCACGGUCACACUCACUGCUCAGUAUAAAGACAACAUGCAGUUUAGAGGACUUUGAAGCAUCAGGAUGAGUGAGGUCACUGAUGCUGCUGAUCACACUGACCACAGACAGCAGAGUUAAUACCAAAUACAGUGGCGCCAUCUAGUGGACAGUCAGAGCUGUGAAUCUACUGGUGAGUCCAUCCAUGAGCCCUCUCCCAGCUGACUACCCUGGACAAGUCAGCAGCUUAUCACAGAGACAAACAAGUAUUCACACCUACGGACGAUUUAGAGUCACGUAACCUGUUAAGACUGCGAGAGGAAGCGGACUAAACCCACGCAGACACGAGGAGAACAUGUAAACUCCACCC